CGAACGCCUGACGGAGCAAUACCGCGUGAGGGAAGAAGGCUUUUGGGUCGUAAACCUCUUUUGUUAGGGAAGAACACUGACGGUACCCAACGAAUAAGCCUCGGCUAACUCCGUGCCAGCAGCCGCGGUAAGACGGAGGAGGCAAGCGUUAUCCGGAAUUAUUGGGCGUAAAGCGUCCGCAGGUGGUUUUUCAAGUCUGCUGUCAAAGCGCAGGGCUUAACUCUGUAGAGGCAGUGGAAACUGAGAGACUAGAGUUCGGUAGGGGUAGAGGGAAUUCCAGGUGUAGCGGUGAAAUGCGUAGAUAUCUGGAAGAACACCAGUGGCGAAAGCGCUCUACUUGGGCCUGAACUGACACUGAGGGACGAAAGCCAGGUGAGCG
This 379-nucleotide ribosomal RNA is filed under the name uncultured cyanobacterium. RNAcentral describes it as "bacterial SSU rRNA". It matches the Rfam family "Bacterial small subunit ribosomal RNA", at positions 376 to 770 of the family's 1533-position model. The record is from RNAcentral. Lineage: Bacteria; Bacillati; Cyanobacteriota.